UCCACUUAAGUAGAUCUCUAUAAAUGCUCUCAUGCUACCUUUAUUUGCUUUAGUAUAUGUCUAGGUUUGGAAUAGUUUCAUUUAUCUCUUAAUUAAGCAUGGUGCUUAGGUUAAAAUGCCCUUCUAAAUCAAAUUAGACAUGGUGUCUAGGUUGAUUUUUGAGCCGAUAGUAUGCUAUAGUAGAUAUGGGAUUAUUUGUUGGACUAACCCCUGCAGGAAAACUUUCAAUAUCAACCUGGGAAGUCCUGAGAUAAACUCGCAUUGUAGAUGAAGAAAGUGACACAUGAAGUUUAACAAUUUGCACAAGAAAGACGUAGCUCAUAAGAGAUGAUUC
Molecule: long non-coding RNA, 334 nt
Filed under: Sorghum bicolor (sorghum)
Lineage: Eukaryota; Viridiplantae; Streptophyta; Magnoliopsida; Poales; Poaceae
Description: long non-coding RNA (SBIC_LNC010427)
Source: RNAcentral